RNAcentral lists this ribosomal RNA (412 nucleotides) under uncultured marine bacterium. RNAcentral describes it as "bacterial SSU rRNA". It matches the Rfam family "Bacterial small subunit ribosomal RNA", at positions 359 to 780 of the family's 1533-position model. The record is from RNAcentral.
UAUAUGGGACAAUGGGGGCAACCCUGAUCCAGCAAUGCCGAGCGUGUGGAGAAAGCGUAGGGUGGUUAAAGCAGGUUCAAUUGGGAAGAAAAGCUUACCCUGAAGAACUGUCUGUCUUACUCGGGAAGCACCGGUUAACUCCGCAGCGGCAGCCGCGGUAAUAGGGAGGGUGCGAGCGUUAAUCGGAAUUAGUGGGUAAAAAGCGCGGGUAGGCGGCUGUGUAAGUCGGAUGUGAAAGCCCCGGUCUCAACUUGGGAAGUGCUUUAAAUACUCCACAUGGAGAGUAGGGGGGGGAGAAGUGGAAUCUCCGGGGUAGCUGUGUAGUGUAUAGAUAUGAAAGAGAACACCAGGGGGAAGGCGACUUCGGGCCCAAUAGUGACGGGAGAGGGAAAGAGGGGAGCGAAACGGAUUU